GGGGCAGACUUGGAUUUGACAGCAUGAAGAAUAGGUAUGUAAGCAUGUCGGGAGCAGUGAAACGGCCCGUAAAUCCCGGACACAAAAUUUUAAUUGGCGAAAAUAGAUACGCUUUCGCUGCCUGAUCUUUAGAAGAUUCGAGGCUUAAUCCCUGCUCAAGGAGCGGGGACGAAACAUCCCGCCAGUGGUUCCGCCUUAUUCCGGCUGGCAAUCGGGGUGCAGUCAAUAUAAGGAUAGCCUGAGCCGUCUCCGGGCAAAAGGCGAAAAUUCAGGAGAUAAGCAGUAGCUUGGGUGUCACUUUCCGGACUACUGACGAAAACCAACAAGUGACUAAACAUGUAGAAAGCAUACAGGUUCCGUGUUUGGACCAGGGUUCGAAACCCUGCUGCUCCACU
This 395-nucleotide transfer-messenger RNA is filed under the name Candidatus Odoribacter faecigallinarum. It matches the Rfam family "transfer-messenger RNA". From Rfam's summary of the family: Bacterial tmRNA, also known as 10Sa RNA or SsrA, is named for its dual tRNA and mRNA-like properties. Its role is to liberate the mRNA from a stalled ribosome. The record is from RNAcentral. Lineage: Bacteria; Pseudomonadati; Bacteroidota; Bacteroidia; Bacteroidales; Odoribacteraceae.